Unclassified non-coding RNA from Gorilla gorilla gorilla (western lowland gorilla), 100 nucleotides. It matches the Rfam family "Y RNA". From Rfam's summary of the family: Y RNAs are components of the Ro ribonucleoprotein particle (Ro RNP), in association with Ro60 and La proteins. Lineage: Eukaryota; Metazoa; Chordata; Mammalia; Primates; Hominidae. The record is from Ensembl.
GGAUGGUCCAAGUGCAGUGGUGUUUACAACUAACUGAUCACAACCAGUUACAGACUUCUUUGUUUUUUCCACUCGCACUGCUUCAUCUGACUAGCCUUAA